RNAcentral lists this ribosomal RNA (253 nucleotides) under uncultured bacterium. RNAcentral's name for it is "partial 16S ribosomal RNA". It matches the Rfam family "Bacterial small subunit ribosomal RNA", at positions 524 to 776 of the family's 1533-position model. The record is from RNAcentral.
UACGUAGGGUGCAAGCGUUGUCCGGAAUUACUGGGCGUAAAGGGUGUGCAGGCUGCCCCUCAAGUGGUGUAUGAAAGGGCUCGGCUCAACCGGGCUAGGUUAUGCCAGACUGAGGGGCUAGAGAGCGAGAGCGGGACGUGGAAUUCCGGGUGUAGUGGUGAAAUGCGUAGAGAUCCGGAGGAACCCCAGAGGCGAAGGCGGCGUCCUGGCUCGCAUCUGACGCUCAGACACGACAGCAUGGGGAGCGAACGGG